This 427-nucleotide ribosomal RNA is filed under the name uncultured bacterium. RNAcentral's name for it is "partial 16S ribosomal RNA". It matches the Rfam family "Bacterial small subunit ribosomal RNA", at positions 355 to 774 of the family's 1533-position model. The record is from RNAcentral.
UGGGGAAUAUUGGACAAUGGGCGAAAGCCUGAUCCAGCCAUGCCACGUGUGUGAAGAAGGUCUUCGGAUUGUAAAGCACUUUAAGUUGGGAGGAAGGGCAGUAAGCUAAUACCUUGCUGUUUUGACGUUACCGACAGAAUAAGCACCGGCUAACUCUGUGCCAGCAGCCGCGGUAAUACAGAGGGUGCAAGCGUUAAUCGGAAUUACUGGGCGUAAAGCGCGCGUAGGUGGUUUGUUAAGUUGGAUGUGAAAGCCCCGGGCUCAACCUGGGAACUGCAUCCAAAACUGGCAGGCUAGAGUACGGUAGAGGGUGGUGGAAUUUCCUGUGUAGCGGUGAAAUGCGUAGAUAUAGGAAGGAACACCAGUGGCGAAGGCGACCACCUGGACUGAUACUGACACUGAGGUGCGAAAGCGUGGGGAGCAAACA